AUUUUUAGAAGAAUAUAUAGAGAGAGAUUAGUGUGUGGUAACUGAUAAUACUCAACGCUCAUUUUACUGAUGCUCAGUCGUCUGCGCAAUGGCGAGCUAUUCAUUUGUCAGGGCUUUCAGCUUUAUUUUUAUUGUCACGCAUAGCUUUGCUGACAAUAGAUUAUUAUCUUUUCCUAAAGAUUUUCUAUUUGGUGCUGCUUCAUCCGCUUAUCAAAUAGAAGGAGGUUGGAAUGAAGGAGGUAAAGGCGAGAGUAUUUGGGACAAAUUUGCGCACGAACAUCCAGAUUUAAUAGUUGACGGUAGCAAUGGCGAUGUGGCUUGUGAUUCUUAUCAUAAGUAUAAAGAAGAUGUACAGUUAUUAAAGAACAUGGGAGUUGACUUUUACCGAUUUUCUAUCAGUUGGCCACGUGUCUUACCGACUGGUUAUGCCAAUGUGAUUAAUCAAGAAGGACUCGAUUAUUACAAAAAUCUUACUAACGAAUUAUUGGCCAAUGGUAUCGAACCAUUUGUUACUUUACUUCAUUGGGAUCAUCCCACUGUCUUUGAAAGCAUGGGUGGUUGGACCAAUGAAAUGAUGGUUGAAUGGAUAUCUGAUUACGCAAGAAUUAUAUUCAAAGAACUCGGUCCCAAAGUUAAAUACUUUAUGACUAUCAAUGAACCCGCUGUUAUUUGUAAUCAGGGGUACGCUAACGAUAGAAAAGCACCAGGAAAGAAAUUAGGCGCUCCCGGCAAAUAUUUGUGCAUGCACAAUAUUCUAAAAGCGCAUGCUAAGAUUUAUCAUAUCUAUGACACAGAAUUUCGAAAACAGCAGAAAGGUCAAAUUGGUAUAGUUGUAUCUUGUUCAGGCGCAUUUCCCAAAACUCCUGCUGAUACUGAAGCAGUAGAUGCAUAUUUUCAAUUUAAUUGCGGAUGGGUGGCCCAUCCCGUGUUUUCAAAGGAUGGUGAUUACCCAGAAAUUAUGAAAAAGCAUGUAGCUGAAAAUAGUAAAUUGGAUGGUUUUCCGAGAUCACUUUUGCCUAAAUUUUCACCAGAAUGGGUGCAGUAUAUUAAAGGUACAUCGGAUUUCUUUGCAUUAAAUCAUUACACUUCGAGACUUGUGGAAACAGUACCACGAAAACAAGGUCACGCAUGGUACGAUUAUUCUGGUGUGAAAGCAAGUGUGGAUCCAUCAUGGCCAAAAAGUGCUUCGGAUUGGCUCAGAGUUGUUCCUGCUGGAUUUCGAGAGCUUAUUAAGAAGAUUUCACGUGAAUAUGAUAACCCAACUAUCUUUAUUACGGAAAAUGGUUUCUCUGACAAAUGUUGUACUAUUGAUUAUUUAAGAAUAUCCUACUUGGAUUCUUAUAUGAAAGAAAUGUUAACCGCUAUUCAAAAAUAUGGAUGUAAAGUGAAAGGAUAUACUGUUUGGAGUUUAUUAGAUAAUUAUGAAUGGCAGAGUGGUUAUACAGAACGGUUUGGACUGGUAUAUGUGAACUUUACGGAUCCCAAUCGAACGAGAACUCCAAAACGAUCAAUGAACUGGUAUAAAAAUGUCAUUAAGACUAGGAAACUUUUGAUUGAUGACAUAAUCACAGAUUUUCCGUCACGCUUUUCGGUUAGCGUUUAUAUUUGGCGCGCUUUAGCUCCGCAGUGUGAUUUAGCAGUGUAGCAGUAUGUACUGAGAGUAUGUGGAGUUGCGCUUUCGUAGCCAACAAUCAAGUUUCACCAGAGAAGAAUAUAUUAAAAAUUGUUU
RNAcentral lists this unclassified non-coding RNA (1729 nucleotides) under Acromyrmex echinatior (Panamanian leafcutter ant). Its description in RNAcentral is "myrosinase 1, transcript variant X2". The record is from RNAcentral. Lineage: Eukaryota; Metazoa; Arthropoda; Insecta; Hymenoptera; Formicidae.